CAAUAGCGUAUAUUUAAGUUGUUGCAGUUAAAAAGCUCGUAGUUGGAUUUCGGUUAAGAGCGACCGGUCCGCCGUUUGGUGUGCACUGGUUGGUUUUAACUUCCUGUAGAGGACGUGCUCUGGGUUUAACGACCUGGACUCGGAGUCUACGUGGUUACUUUGAAAAAAUUAGAGUGUUCAAAGCGGGCUUACGCUUGAAUAUUUCAGCAUGGAAUAACGCUAUAGGACUCCUGUCCUAUUUCGUUGGUCUCGGGACGGGAGUAAUGAUUAAGAGGAACAGUUGGGGGCAUUCGUAUUUCAUUGUCAGAGGUGAAAUUCUUGGAUUUAUGAAAGACGAACUUCUGCGAAAGCAUUUGCCAAGGAUGUUUUCAUUA
This 374-nucleotide ribosomal RNA is filed under the name uncultured eukaryote. RNAcentral describes it as "partial 18S ribosomal RNA". It matches the Rfam family "Eukaryotic small subunit ribosomal RNA", at positions 592 to 975 of the family's 1831-position model. The record is from RNAcentral.